This 450-nucleotide ribosomal RNA is filed under the name uncultured bacterium. Its description in RNAcentral is "partial 16S ribosomal RNA". It matches the Rfam family "Bacterial small subunit ribosomal RNA", at positions 354 to 796 of the family's 1533-position model. The record is from RNAcentral.
GUGGGGAAUCUUCCACAAUGGACGAAAGUCUGAUGGAGCAACGCCGCGUGAGUGAAGAAGGGUUUCGGCUCGUAAAGCUCUGUUGUCGGGGACGAAUGUGCAGUAUUUGAAUAAAGUACUGUAAUGACGGUACCUGACGAGGAAGCCACGGCUAACUACGUGCCAGCAGCCGCGGUAAUACGUAGGUGGCAAGCGUUGUCCGGAAUUAUUGGGCGUAAAGGGAGCGCAGGCGGGAAGGUAAGUCGGUCUUAAAAGUGCGGGGCUCAACCCCGUGAUGGGAUCGAAACUAUCUUUCUUGAGUGCAGGAGAGGAAAGUGGAAUUCCUAGUGUAGCGGUGAAAUGCGUAGAUAUUAGGAGGAACACCAGUGGCGAAGGCGACUUUCUGGACUGUGACUGACGCUGAGAUGCGAAAGCCAGGGGAGCGAACGGGAUUAGAUACCCUUGUAGUCC